ACCUACGGGGCGCAGCAGUGGGGAAUAUUGGUCAAUGGGCGCAAGCCUGAACCAGCCAUGCCGCGUGCAGGAAGAAGGUCCUAUGGAUUGUAAACUGCUUUUAUUUGGGAAUAAACCUCUUUACGUGUAGAGAGCUGAAGGUACCAAAUGAAUAAGCACCGGCUAACUCCGUGCCAGCAGCCGCGGUAAUACGGAGGGUGCAAGCGUUAUCCGGAAUCAUUGGGUUUAAAGGGUCCGCAGGCGGGCUUAUAAGUCAGUGGUGAAAGCCCAUCGCUUAACGAUGGAACUGCCAUUGAUACUGUAAGUCUUGAAUUCGGUCGAAGUGGGCGGAAUGUGACAUGUAGCGGUGAAAUGCUUAGAUAUGUCACAGAACACCGAUAGCGAAGGCAGCUCACUAGGCCUGGAUUGACGCUCAUGGACGAAAGCGUGGGGAGCAAACAGGAUUAGAUACCCGCGU
RNAcentral lists this ribosomal RNA (457 nucleotides) under uncultured bacterium. RNAcentral's name for it is "bacterial SSU rRNA". It matches the Rfam family "Bacterial small subunit ribosomal RNA", at positions 337 to 791 of the family's 1533-position model. The record is from RNAcentral.